CAUGUACGGGAGGCAGCAGUGAGGAAUAUUGGUCAAUGGUCGGAAGACUGAACCAGCCAUGCCGCGUGCAGGAAGAAUGCCUUAUGGGUUGUAAACUGCUUUUAUAUGGGAAGAAUAAGGAGUACGUGUACUUUGAUGACGGUACCAUAUGAAUAAGCAUCGGCUAACUCCGUGCCAGCAGCCGCGGUAAUCAUG
RNAcentral lists this ribosomal RNA (195 nucleotides) under uncultured bacterium. Its description in RNAcentral is "partial 16S ribosomal RNA". It matches the Rfam family "Bacterial small subunit ribosomal RNA", at positions 335 to 527 of the family's 1533-position model. The record is from RNAcentral.